UCACUCUGCUGACCCAUGACUCCACACCAUCACACAGCACCAAUCUCUUCAUUAAGUUUGCGGACGACACGACUG
Molecule: non-coding RNA, 75 nt
Organism: Pangasianodon gigas (Mekong giant catfish)
Lineage: Eukaryota; Metazoa; Chordata; Actinopteri; Siluriformes; Pangasiidae
Source: the annotation of a GenBank genome assembly